This is a small nucleolar RNA of Callithrix jacchus (white-tufted-ear marmoset), 94 nucleotides long. The record is from Ensembl. Lineage: Eukaryota; Metazoa; Chordata; Mammalia; Primates; Cebidae.
AUUUUUUUGUAGUUCAUGAGUGUAAUGAUUGGGUGUUCACGCGCAUGUGUGAGAUGUGACACUCUUGCACAUUAAUUACUAGCCUAACCUGAGG